GCGGGCGUGGCGGAAUGGCAGACGCGCUGGAUUUAGGUUCCAGUGUCCAAGUGACGUAAGAGUUCAAGUCUCUUCGUCCGCACCA
This 85-nucleotide transfer RNA is filed under the name Clostridia bacterium. RNAcentral describes it as "tRNA-Leu". It matches the Rfam family "tRNA". Rfam says of the family: Transfer RNA (tRNA) molecules are approximately 80 nucleotides in length. Their secondary structure includes four short double-helical elements and three loops (D, anti-codon, and T loops). Further hydrogen bonds mediate the characteristic L-shaped molecular structure. tRNAs have two regions of fundamental functional importance: the anti-codon, which is responsible for specific mRNA codon recognition, and the 3' end, to which the tRNAs corresponding amino acid is attached (by aminoacyl-tRNA synthetases). tRNAs cope with the degeneracy of the genetic code in two manners: having more than one tRNA (with a specific anti-codon) for a particular amino acid; and 'wobble' base-pairing, i.e. permitting non-standard base-pairing at the 3rd anti-codon position. The record is from RNAcentral. Lineage: Bacteria; Bacillati; Bacillota; Clostridia.